UUCCGGUUGAUCCUGCCAGAGGCGACCGCUAUUGGAGUUCGAUUAAGCCAUGCGAGUCGAGAGUCUUAGGGACUCGGCAUACUGCUCAGUAACACGUGGAUAACCUGCCCUGUACUGGAGAAUAACCUCGGGAAACUGAGAAUAAUGCUCCAUAGACCACAAUGCCUGGAACGGUUUGUGGUUCAAAGCUCCGGCGGUACAGGAUGGGUCUGCGGCGUAUCAGGUUGUAGGGGGUGUAAAGGACCUCCUAGCCAUUGACGCGUACGGGUUGUGGGAGCAAUAGCCCGGAGAUGGAUUCUGAGACACGAAUCCAGACCCUACGGGGUGCAGCAGGCGCGAAAACUUCACACUGCGGGAAACCGUGAUGAGGGAACUCCAAGUGUUAGCACAAUGUGCUAUCUUUUCUUGACUUUUAAUAGGUCUUGGAAUAAGGGGCGGGAAAGACCGGUGCCAGCCGCCGCGGUAAUACCGGCGCCUCGAGUGGUCGUCGCUUUUAUUGGGCCUAAAACGUCCGUAGCCUGUUUGGUAAACCCGUGGGUAAAUCAACGAGCUCAACUCAUUGACUUCUGCGGAGACUGCCAGACUAGGGACCGGGAGAGGUGUAGGGUACUCAUGGGGUAGGGGUAAAAUCCUGUCAUCCCAUGAGGACCACCUGUUGCGAAGGCGCUACACUGGAACGGAUCCGACGGUCAGGGACGAAGCCUAGGGGCACGAACCGGAUUAGAUACCCGGGUAGUCCUAGGUGUAAACGCUGUGGACUUGGUGUUGGGGAUCCGACAGGGGUUCCCAGUGCCGGAGCGAAGGUGUUAAGUCCACUGCCUGGGGAGUACGGUCGCAAGGCUGAAACUUAAAGGAAUUGGCGGGGGAGCACUGCAACGGGAGGAGCGUGCGGUUUAAUUGGACUCAACGCCGGGA
Molecule: ribosomal RNA, 915 nt
Filed under: uncultured Candidatus Poseidoniales archaeon
Lineage: Archaea; Methanobacteriati; Thermoplasmatota; Candidatus Poseidoniia; Candidatus Poseidoniales
Description: bacterial SSU rRNA
Rfam family: Archaeal small subunit ribosomal RNA
Source: RNAcentral